Long non-coding RNA from Solenopsis invicta (red fire ant), 2121 nucleotides. RefSeq lists it as uncharacterized. NCBI's taxonomy places the organism in Eukaryota, Metazoa, Arthropoda, Insecta, Hymenoptera, Formicidae. The transcript is spliced from 3 exons. The record is from RefSeq and is a predicted model, not a curated record.
UGCUAUCUGGGAUAGCUUACAAAUUAAUAAAAAUUAAAUUUUCAGAUUUCUGAAAAAUCCAGAAAUAUGUAAAAAAUGAGUUGAAAAUUGCGGAUUGCAGGAGAGAGAUGAUGUAUCCCAUUUGUUUCUUUGCUCAUUUCAUUUUAAAGUACCUCGGAAUUUAAUUGUACAAGAAAAAUGGAAACUAUCUCUUGGUAUUAUACCCAACUUGGAUAUUACUGAUGUCUCAACAACAAAUGUAACAACUUUACCAGAAAUAUCUUUAAAAUCAUCCACCAAUAUUAUUAUCAAAUGUGCUAAAAGAUAGUACUAAUAUACCAAAAUCAAUUGAAACAUCUUUAAAUAUAUCUGAUGAUAUAAAUUGUGAUUGUGAUGUUCCAUCAACAUCAAAGGUUUCUUAUUCAAAUUCUGAAGAGGACUGCUAUUCUCCUCCAAAGAAACGCUUUUUUGCAGAACUUAGAUAUAUAUCAGAAAUCAAUAGCUUUGAUGUUAGUAUACCGAGAAAAGCAAGGAGAGUAAUUAAAUUUAUGAAAACAGAGGACGAAAAGAAACGCAAACAAAUAAAAUCUUUACAAGACCAAAAUAGAAGGCUUGUAAUGCGAAUUGCUACAUUACAGGAUUUAAUGUCUCAUUUAAAAGAAUCAAGUUUAAUUUCUGAUGAUGCUGGAGAUCAUUUAAUGUAAAAACAGAAAGAGAAGAAAGAUUUGUAGCGUCAAGUCAACUCCACUAAACCGGUUACGCCAGCAUAUGCGUAUAACGUUCGUAGUACAUGAUUACCUAUAUAUAUUGUAUGUCUAUCUCACUUUCUUGGCGUCGCUACCGCCUAUUGUGAGGAUACGCCACUAGCAUUAUAGGAGUAUUACAUAUGUGCUAGAGACACGUACGUGAACGGGUUCGCGUAUGUGCGGCAGUCCAGCGCCAGCGCCGAGGGACACCAUUUCUGCCGGUGCGACUACAGUCAGAAUAUGUUUUCCAAAUGAUUACUGAAGGCUUGCGCAAGCUCCGAAUUUCUUACUCCCAACAUUUCAAAACAUUUUACGAUAAGGAAGAAAAAACUUAGAAUGUCAUCUUUAAAAGGCAGUGACGAUUAAAAACACUCGAUAAUUUUAUGUUUUAUCUGUUUCAAUAAGUACGAUAGAAUGCAAAAUUAUUUUAUACCGGAAUCAGUCUGUUACACGCAAGAUUAUGCAAUAAUCUUUAAUGAUUUUUUUUGUAUGUUAUGCAUUGUUAUACAUAAUUAUACUUAUAAUGUUUGAUAUUUGGUAAUUUUAUGUUCCUACUAUUUCGUUAAUUAAAAACCGCAAAUUUAAAAACAAGUUAGAAAACGCAAAAUUUAUAAGUUGCUAAUGCUAGUAUAAUAGCUAUUUAGCAAAAGGAAAAUUGCAAAUCUUCCCGCGCCGCCGGGUAGUAAUCGCCCGCCGUGUUGAGAAUCGACAGGCUUUUCACACAUAAAUAUCUUAAAAUAUUUUUUCUCGGAAACAACAAUCUUCAAAUUUUUGUUUACGCUGUAGAAGAACUGAAAGUAAAUAUAAAUAAUUUUUUAACAUUUUCGAUUCCUUUUUUUUUUUAUAACGGAGAGGAAAUGCGUUAUCGCAUACCCCAGGCCCCGGGGGGGAGGCCUGGUAGUUAUGUGGGGCUCUUCCCCGCUGACAACGUGUCGACGGAGACAUACCCACUGAAACCUCUCCGAGUGUCCUGCCCUGGUCCGUGACUGGGGGGCUCCGGGAACGCGUGCAGCAUACUUUCGGAGCCCCCCGGACCCGGUCGGCCUGAGCCGACUCAGCACGCCAGGUGCGCCCAACAUGGUCGCACCCGGCAGGGCUUGUGGGCCUGAUCCGCCCUAGGUCGGGGGAGGGGGACACCAUCCCCCCCGGCCUCUUCCUCUGCUGUUUCGGGGGUAAAGCCCGGGGUAUCCGACCCCGCCGUAACCCCGGGCCUCUUCGCGCCGCACUGACGGUGGCGCGGUCCUCCCUACUACCUUGGGGGAGGAGAGAGAAGAUCCUUCCCUCUCCCCCCGCCCGGCGAGGUAGUGGGGGGAGCGACUCCGCGUUAUACCGCAGGGUCGCCCCCCCCCCCCAGACCGUCAGGUCAGAUCUGCCUCGCCGGGCUUACCACCGAUGU